UACGGAGGAUUCAAGCGUUAUCCGGAUUUAUUGGGUUUAAAGGGUGCGUAGGCGGUCGGAUAAGUUAGAGGUGAAAUCCCGGGGCUCAACUUCGGAAUUGCCUCUGAUACUGUUCGGCUAGAGAGCAGUUGCGGUAGGCGGAAUGUAUGGUGUAGCGGUGAAAUGCUUAGAGAUCAUACAGAACACCGAUUGCGAAGGCAGCUUACCAAGCUACUUCUGACGUUGAGGCACGAAAGCGUGGGGAGCAAACAGG
Molecule: ribosomal RNA, 253 nt
Filed under: uncultured bacterium
Lineage: Bacteria
Description: partial 16S ribosomal RNA
Rfam family: Bacterial small subunit ribosomal RNA
Source: RNAcentral